RNAcentral lists this ribosomal RNA (474 nucleotides) under uncultured bacterium. RNAcentral describes it as "SSU rRNA". It matches the Rfam family "Bacterial small subunit ribosomal RNA", at positions 26 to 518 of the family's 1533-position model. The record is from RNAcentral.
AGGACGAACGCUGGCGGCGUGCUUAACACAUGCAAGUCGAGCGGAAAGGCCCUUCGGGGUACUCGAGCGGCGAACGGGUGAGUAACACGUGAGUAACCUGCCCCUAGCUCUGGGAUAGCUCCGGGAAACCGGGAUUAAUACCAGAUACGACCACUUUAGACAUCUGUCGUGGUGGAAAGGAUUCCGGCUAGGGAUGGGCUCGCGGCCUAUCAGCUUGUUGGUGGGGUAACGGCCUACCAAGGCGACGACGGGUAGCCGGCCUGAGAGGGCGACCGGCCACACUGGGACUGAGACACGGCCCAGACUCCUACGGGAGGCAGCAGUGGGGAAUAUUGCGCAAUGGGCGAAAGCCUGACGCAGCGACGCCGCGUGGGGGAUGAAGGCCUUCGGGUUGUAAACCCCUUUCAGCUCCGACGAAGCGAAAGUGACGGUAGGAGCAGAAGAAGCACCGGCCAACUACGCGCCAGCAGCCGC